Molecule: ribosomal RNA, 294 nt
Filed under: Escherichia coli
Lineage: Bacteria; Pseudomonadati; Pseudomonadota; Gammaproteobacteria; Enterobacterales; Enterobacteriaceae
Description: partial 23S ribosomal RNA
Rfam family: Bacterial large subunit ribosomal RNA
Source: RNAcentral
AGGCUGUCUCCACCCGAGACUCAGUGAAAUUGAACUCGCUGUGAAGAUGCAGUGUACCCGCGGCAAGACGGAAAGACCCCGUGAACCUUUACUAUAGCUUGACACUGAACAUUGAGCCUUGAUGUGUAGGAUAGGUGGGAGGCUUUGAAGUGUGGACGCCAGUCUGCAUGGAGCCGACCUUGAAAUACCACCCUUUAAUGUUUGAUGUUCUAACGUUGGCCCGUUAUCCGGGUUGCGGACAGUGUCUGGUGGGUAGUUUGACUGGGGCGGUCUCCUCCUAAAGAGUAACGGAGG